GGACAUUUUCCCUGCUUAGGCAGCCACAGCACAGAGAUAAUUAGUCACAAGGUUAGUUAGUCCAGCUUAAAUAAGCAGAAGUCAAGUUAGUGCUUCACAGAUUGGUCUUUUAGCAGAUGCUCUGCCCUUUUGAGGAAUGCAAGGGGCAAAUGUGAGCUCUUAAGGAUAUUUUACAUUUACGCAAUGAGUUACGCUGUUCAAAAAACUUUGUCUUUCUACCCUUGUGCAACCUAAUUUCUCUUACCGGAAACCUGAGGCUCCAAAGUUCUGGAGGCCAAAAGUCCAGGGUCAAAGUGCCAGUGGAUUACAUUUCCUGGUGAGGACCCUCUUCCUGGCUUGUACCUGUGAUUCCUAGAAGUCUCCAUUUUGAAGUUCUCUUGUCCUUUGACCAAGCAUCCAGCACAUCCUCACAACACUCCAAAGCCACCUUGAAGACUCUCUUCAAAGCAAUUUUUACUGUUGAUACCACCACCAUUGUUCCUGACACAUGAAGCAGGAGGACCCAAGGCCGGAGGUCAUGGCGGAGAGAUGAGCAGAUAGUCCUCAAAGGCAGACAGGGCUGGGGUUGAAGAGGAAUUCCCUAAUAGCUGUUAUAAAUGGAGAUAUGACAGGUAUGAACAAACAACCUAGGAGUGGAAGAAAGAAGAGGGAGGAGUUAGGUAGAAAUAGUACUGGGAGUGGAUGCCCGGGCUGUGUAGUGACAUAAAGGGGCUU
Rhinopithecus roxellana (golden snub-nosed monkey) is the source of this 714-nucleotide long non-coding RNA. RefSeq lists it as uncharacterized. The record is from RefSeq and is a predicted model, not a curated record. NCBI's taxonomy places the organism in Eukaryota, Metazoa, Chordata, Mammalia, Primates, Cercopithecidae. The transcript has 3 exons.